UAGAGUUUGAUCAUGGCUCAGAAUCAACGCUGGCGGCGUGCCUAACACAUGCAAGUCGAACGAGAAAGUGGAGCAGUCCAUGAGUACAGUGGCGAACGGGUGAGUAACACGUGACUAACCUGCCUUCGAGUGGGGGAUAACCUCGGGAAACCGGGGCUAAUACCGGAUACUCCGGCGUGAUCGCAUGGUCGUGCCGGGAAAGCUCCGACGGUCCGGGAUGGGCCCGCGGCCUAUCAGCCUGUUGGUGGGGUAACGGCCUACCAAGGCGACGACGGGUAGCUGGUCUGANAGGACGGCCAGCCACACUGGGACUGAG
RNAcentral lists this ribosomal RNA (316 nucleotides) under uncultured bacterium. Its description in RNAcentral is "bacterial SSU rRNA". It matches the Rfam family "Bacterial small subunit ribosomal RNA", at positions 1 to 323 of the family's 1533-position model. The record is from RNAcentral.